CGUCGACCGGCGCACGGGUGAGUAACGCGUAUCCAACCUUCCCAUUACUGUGGGAUAACCUGCCGAAAGGCAGACUAAUACCACAUAGUCUUCGAUGACGGCAUCAGAUUUGAAGUAAAGAUUUAUCGGUAAUGGAUGGGGAUGCGUCUGAUUAGCUUGUUGGUGGGGUAACGGCCCACCAAGGCGACGAUCAGUAGGGGUUCUGAGAGGAAGGUCCCCCACAUUGGAACUGAGACACGGUCCAAACUCCUACGGGAGGCAGCAGCU
This 267-nucleotide ribosomal RNA is filed under the name uncultured Prevotella sp. Its description in RNAcentral is "partial 16S ribosomal RNA". It matches the Rfam family "Bacterial small subunit ribosomal RNA", at positions 89 to 355 of the family's 1533-position model. The record is from RNAcentral. Lineage: Bacteria; Pseudomonadati; Bacteroidota; Bacteroidia; Bacteroidales; Prevotellaceae.